This 423-nucleotide ribosomal RNA is filed under the name uncultured bacterium. RNAcentral describes it as "bacterial SSU rRNA". It matches the Rfam family "Bacterial small subunit ribosomal RNA", at positions 207 to 622 of the family's 1533-position model. The record is from RNAcentral.
AAGACCUUGCACUUUUGGAGCGGCCGAUGUCUGAUUAGCUAGUUGGUGGGGUAAUGGCCUACCAAAGCUUCGAUCAGUAGCUGGUCUAAGAGGACGGCCAGCCACACUGGGACUGAGACACGGCCCAGACUCCUACGGGAGGCAGCAGUGGGGAAUUUUGGACAAUGGGCGCAAGCCUGAUCCAGCCAUGCCGCGUGAGUGAAGAAGGCCUUCGGGUUGUAAAGCUCUUUCAGCCGGGAAGAAAAGGUUGCGACUAAUAAUCGCAAUUCAUGACGGUACCGAAAGAAGAAGCACCGGCUAACUACGUGCCAGCAGCCGCGGUAAUACGUAGGGUGCGAGCGUUAAUCGGAAUUACUGGGCGUAAAGGGUGCGCAGGCGGUUUUGUAAGUCAGAUGUGAAAUCCCCGGGCUUAACCUGGGAACU